AUACGGAAGGUCCGGGCGUUAUCCGGAUUUAUUGGGUUUAAAGGGAGCGCAGGCGGAGAUGCAAGCGUGACGUCAAAUUUCGGGGCUCAACCCCGUCUCGCGUCGCGAACUGCGUCCCUUGGUUGCGGGAAGGGGAGGCGGAACUCGUGGUGUAGCGGUGAAAUGCAUAGAUAUCACGAAGAACUCCGAUCGCGAAGGCAGCCUUCCGGCCCGUCAACGACGCUCAUGCUCGAAGGUGCGGGUAUCAAACAGGAUUAGAUACCCUGGUAGGCCGCACAGUAAACGAUGGACACCCGCGGUUUGGCCUAUAUGGCUGAGCCGCCAAGCGAAAGCGUUAAGUGUCCCACCUGGGGAGUACGCCGGCAACGGUGAAACUCAAAGGAAUUGACGGGG
This 393-nucleotide ribosomal RNA is filed under the name uncultured bacterium. Its description in RNAcentral is "partial 16S ribosomal RNA". It matches the Rfam family "Bacterial small subunit ribosomal RNA", at positions 523 to 918 of the family's 1533-position model. The record is from RNAcentral.